RNAcentral lists this transfer RNA (74 nucleotides) under Danionella translucida. It matches the Rfam family "tRNA". Rfam says of the family: Transfer RNA (tRNA) molecules are approximately 80 nucleotides in length. RNAcentral also lists the same sequence under 1 other name. The record is from Rfam by way of RNAcentral. Lineage: Eukaryota; Metazoa; Chordata; Actinopteri; Cypriniformes; Danionidae.
GGCCUGUUAGAUCAGCUGGUUAGAAGGUGGUGCUAAUAACGCCAAGGUCGUGGUUUCGAUCCCCACAUGGGCUA